CAAACACAUACUGAGAUACAUUUACAGACACACACACAGACCUACUGACAGACAUACUGGCACACACCCAGGCAGACAUACUGACACACACAGACACAUACUGGCACACACAGACACAUACUGACACACACCCAGACAGACAUACUGGCACACACCCAGACAGACAUACUGACACCCAGACAGACAUACUGGCACACAGAUAUACUGACACACACACAGACAGACCUACUGACACACACGGAUCUACUGACAGACACACACGCAAACACAC
Molecule: non-coding RNA, 271 nt
Organism: Pelobates cultripes (western spadefoot toad)
Lineage: Eukaryota; Metazoa; Chordata; Amphibia; Anura; Pelobatidae
Source: the annotation of a GenBank genome assembly